RNAcentral lists this ribosomal RNA (206 nucleotides) under uncultured bacterium. RNAcentral describes it as "partial 16S ribosomal RNA". It matches the Rfam family "Bacterial small subunit ribosomal RNA", at positions 568 to 774 of the family's 1533-position model. The record is from RNAcentral.
CGCGUAGGCGGGCAUUCAAGUCUGUGGUGAAAUCCGGCAGCUUAACUGUCGAAUUGCCGUGGAUACUGGGUGUCUCGAGGAAGGUAGGGGCGUGCGGAACUAAUGGUGGAGCGGUGAAAUGCGUUGAUAUCAUUAGGAACUCCGGUGGCGAAGGCGGCACGCUGGACCUUUUCUGACGCUGAGGCGCGAAAGCCAGGGAGCAAACG